GGCCAGAAAUGAAAUCACUUUCAAGAACAACUAGAUCAAGAUUUAGGAAUCCAAGCUUUUUCUUCUCAAAGGACUAAUGCUGGUGUCCCUACGGGUGAAGGACAUCCUUAUGAUCGGGAUUCAGGAAUCCAAGCUUUUUCUUCUCAAAGAACUAAUGCUGGUGUCCCUACGGGUGAAGGACAUCCUUUCAGAAGCUUAUGAUCAAUGGAUCCAAAGGAUUGAUCAUUUUCUCGUUUUUAUUUUCUUUGUUUCUUUUUUUGUAUCUUAGCUUUUUUUCAUUCUUCACCUGUAUUGUUCUCGUGAACUCUUUUUUACCCAGUAAUAUAUAACCAUCUGCAAGGGCCACGGUCCCUCUAGUUCCCUUAAAAAAAACUGUCUCGCCUUGGUGUCUCUUCCUCGCCUUCUGUCGCCUUAUUACAUCCUUCUUAGGCUGGAGAGUGGAUACGCUAUGGGAUGGUGGCGUGGACGCGAGCGCACACUCUCCCUUUACCUUAUGCGGGCGGGUAGCGCUUCCGUUCAGUUUUUCUGUGACAAAGGGAUGCUUAGGCCCUUUUUAGUUCGUGAAAAAGAGUAAAAUCCACCGCCGGUCCUUAAAUUUGGCCAGCGGUGUCAUCUAGAUCUCUAAACUUUUAAAGUGAUAUCUGUGAGUCCGUAAAUUUAGCAGACUGUGUCAUCUAGAUCCCUGAAUUUUCAAGGUAAUCACCACAUGUCUCUAAACUUGGCUGGUGGUGUCAUUCCAGUCCUUGAACUUUCAAGGUCAUCACUGCAGGUCCCUAAACUUGGCAAGCGGUAUCAUCCUUGUCCAAAUAUGGUCUAACAUACUCUAUAAGUUGUCAUGAAUCCAAAAUAUGUCAAUAAAUCAAGCAUUAUUUAUCUAGUAUUUAUCAUGAAAAUAUAAAUUAUAUAAAAUAAUUUAUAUCAACAAAAAAUAAAUUAAAGUGUUAAAAUAAUUUACACCAACAAAUAU
This 967-nucleotide long non-coding RNA is filed under the name Sorghum bicolor (sorghum). RNAcentral describes it as "long non-coding RNA (SBIC_LNC007374)". Lineage: Eukaryota; Viridiplantae; Streptophyta; Magnoliopsida; Poales; Poaceae. The record is from RNAcentral.